AUUGAACGCUGGCGGCAGGCCUAACACAUGCAAGUCGAACGGUAACAGGAAACAGCUUGCUGUUUCGCUGACGAGUGGCGGACGGGUGAGUAAUGUCUGGGAAACUGCCUGAUGGAGGGGGAUAACUACUGGAAACGGUAGUUAAUACCGCAUAACGUCGCAAGACCAAAGAGGGGGACCUUCGGGCCUCUUGCCAUCGGAUGUGCCCAGAUGGGAUUAGCUAGUAGGUGGGGUAACGGCUCACCUAGGCGACGAUCCCUAGCUGGUCUGAGAGGAUGACCAGCCACACUGGAACUGAGACACGGUCCAGACUCCUACGGGAGGCAGCAGUGGGGAAUAUUGCACAUUGGGCGCAAGCCUGAUGCAGCCAUGCCGCGUGUAUGAAGAAGGCCUUCGGGUUGUAAAGUACUUUCAGCGGGGAGGAAGGGAGUAAAGUCAAUACCUUUGCUCAUUGACGUUACCCGCAGAAGAAGCACCGGCUAACUCCGUGCCAGCAGCCGCAGUAA
This 506-nucleotide ribosomal RNA is filed under the name uncultured bacterium. Its description in RNAcentral is "partial 16S ribosomal RNA". It matches the Rfam family "Bacterial small subunit ribosomal RNA", at positions 30 to 523 of the family's 1533-position model. The record is from RNAcentral.